CCUACGGGAGGCAGCAGUAGGGAAUCUUCCACAAUGGGCGAAAGCCUGAUGGAGCAACGCCGCGUGGGCGAAGAAGGUCUUCGGAUCGUAAAGCUCUGUUGUAAGGGAAGAAUAAGUGCAGUAGUAACUGGCAGCACCUUGACGGUACCUUACUAGAAAGCCACGGCUAACUACGUGCCAGCAGCCGCGGUAAUACGUAGGUGGCAAGCGUUGUCCGGAAUUAUUGGGCGU
RNAcentral lists this ribosomal RNA (231 nucleotides) under uncultured bacterium. Its description in RNAcentral is "partial 16S ribosomal RNA". It matches the Rfam family "Bacterial small subunit ribosomal RNA", at positions 338 to 561 of the family's 1533-position model. The record is from RNAcentral.